RNAcentral lists this ribosomal RNA (1183 nucleotides) under Enterobacter hormaechei. Its description in RNAcentral is "partial 23S ribosomal RNA". It matches the Rfam family "Bacterial large subunit ribosomal RNA", at positions 1762 to 2925 of the family's 2925-position model. Lineage: Bacteria; Pseudomonadati; Pseudomonadota; Gammaproteobacteria; Enterobacterales; Enterobacteriaceae. The record is from RNAcentral.
CGGAGCUGAAAUCAGUCGAAGAUACCAGCUGGCUGCAACUGUUUAUUAAAAACACAGCACUGUGCAAACACGAAAGUGGACGUAUACGGUGUGACGCCUGCCCGGUGCCGGAAGGUUAAUUGAUGGGGUUAGCGGCAACGCGAAGCUCUUGAUCGAAGCCCCGGUAAACGGCGGCCGUAACUAUAACGGUCCUAAGGUAGCGAAAUUCCUUGUCGGGUAAGUUCCGACCUGCACGAAUGGCGUAAUGAUGGCCAGGCUGUCUCCACCCGAGACUCAGUGAAAUUGAACUCGCUGUGAAGAUGCAGUGUACCCGCGGCAAGACGGAAAGACCCCGUGAACCUUUACUAUAGCUUGACACUGAACACUGGUCCUUGAUGUGUAGGAUAGGUGGGAGGCUUUGAAGCGUGGACGCCAGUCUGCGUGGAGCCAUCCUUGAAAUACCACCCUUUAAUGGCUGGUGUUCUAACGUAGACCCGUAAUCCGGGUUGCGGACAGUGUCUGGUGGGUAGUUUGACUGGGGCGGUCUCCUCCCAAAGAGUAACGGAGGAGCACGAAGGUUGGCUAAUCCUGGUCGGACAUCAGGAGGUUAGUGCAAUGGCAUAAGCCAGCUUGACUGCGAGCGUGACGGCGCGAGCAGGUGCGAAAGCAGGUCAUAGUGAUCCGGUGGUUCUGAAUGGAAGGGCCAUCGCUCAACGGAUAAAAGGUACUCCGGGGAUAACAGGCUGAUACCGCCCAAGAGUUCAUAUCGACGGCGGUGUUUGGCACCUCGAUGUCGGCUCAUCACAUCCUGGGGCUGAAGUAGGUCCCAAGGGUAUGGCUGUUCGCCAUUUAAAGUGGUACGCGAGCUGGGUUUAGAACGUCGUGAGACAGUUCGGUCCCUAUCUGCCGUGGGCGCUGGAGAAUUGAGGGGGGCUGCUCCUAGUACGAGAGGACCGGAGUGGACGCAUCACUGGUGUUCGGGUUGUCAUGCCAAUGGCACUGCCCGGUAGCUAAAUGCGGAAGAGAUAAGUGCUGAAAGCAUCUAAGCACGAAACUUGCCCCGAGAUGAGUUCUCCCUGAGACUUUAAGUCUCCUGAAGGAACGUUGAAGACGACGACGUUGAUAGGUCGGGUGUGUAAGCGCAGCGAUGCGUUGAGCUAACCGAUACUAAUGAACCGUGAGGCUUAACCUUACAACGCCGAAG